UACGUAGGGGGCAAGCGUUGUCCGGAUUUAUUGGGCGUAAAGAGCGUGUAGGCGGCUAGAUAGGUCCGUUGUGAAAACUCGAGGCUCAACCUCGAGACGCCGGUGGAAACCAUCUAGCUAGAGUCCGGAAGAGGAGAGUGGAAUUCCUGGUGUAGCGGUGAAAUGACGCAGAUAUCAGGAGGAACACCGGUGGCGAAGGCGGGUCUCUGGGCCGAUACUGACGCUGAGGCGCGAAAGCGUGGGGGAGCAAACAGG
This 255-nucleotide ribosomal RNA is filed under the name uncultured bacterium. RNAcentral's name for it is "partial 16S ribosomal RNA". It matches the Rfam family "Bacterial small subunit ribosomal RNA", at positions 524 to 776 of the family's 1533-position model. The record is from RNAcentral.